AACGAACGCUGGCGGCAUGCCUAACACAUGCAAGUCGAACGAGACCUUCGGGUCUAGUGGCGAACGGGUGCGUAACGCGUGGGAACCUGCCCUUAGGUUCGGAAUAACUCCCCGAAAGGGGUGCUAAUACCGGAUAAUGUCUUCGGACCAAAGAUUUAUCGCCUUUGGAUGGGCCCGCGUUGGAUUAGCUAGUUGGUAGGGUAAAAGCCUACCAAGGCGACGAUCCAUAGCUGGUCUGAGAGGAUGAUCAGCCACACUGGGACUGAGACACGGCCCAGACUCCUACGGGAGGCAGCAGUGGGGAAUAUUGAACAAUGGGCGAAAGCCUGAUCCAGCAAUGCCGCGUGAGUGAUGAAGGCCUUAGGGUUGUAAAGCUCUUUUACCCGGGAUGAUAAUGACAGUACCGGGAGAAUAAGCUCCGGCUAACUCCGUG
RNAcentral lists this ribosomal RNA (433 nucleotides) under uncultured bacterium. RNAcentral describes it as "partial 16S ribosomal RNA". It matches the Rfam family "Bacterial small subunit ribosomal RNA", at positions 29 to 507 of the family's 1533-position model. The record is from RNAcentral.